RNAcentral lists this transfer RNA (73 nucleotides) under Ixodes scapularis (black-legged tick). It matches the Rfam family "tRNA". From Rfam's summary of the family: Transfer RNA (tRNA) molecules are approximately 80 nucleotides in length. Their secondary structure includes four short double-helical elements and three loops (D, anti-codon, and T loops). Further hydrogen bonds mediate the characteristic L-shaped molecular structure. tRNAs have two regions of fundamental functional importance: the anti-codon, which is responsible for specific mRNA codon recognition, and the 3' end, to which the tRNAs corresponding amino acid is attached (by aminoacyl-tRNA synthetases). tRNAs cope with the degeneracy of the genetic code in two manners: having more than one tRNA (with a specific anti-codon) for a particular amino acid; and 'wobble' base-pairing, i.e. permitting non-standard base-pairing at the 3rd anti-codon position. The record is from Rfam by way of RNAcentral. Lineage: Eukaryota; Metazoa; Arthropoda; Arachnida; Ixodida; Ixodidae.
CCCAGGUUAGCUCAGUUGGUAGAGCGCUCCACCUGUAAUGGAGAGGUCCCGGGUUCGAUACCCGGACCAGGCG